AUGUCCUCCAGCACCUCUGCCAUCCAAGUGUACAAAAAGAGGAAGGAAAAAGCUCCACUUGUUGAAACCCAGGUGAGAAGAAGUUGUAGAAUUCAGCAAUUCAAUCAUGGUUACAGAAAGAAAACAUGCAUGGAUAGAAACUGCUUGCCUUGCAAUGUUAAUCCUCCUUCAUUACCCAGCAAAGUGGUUAAAAAUCUCUCUAUUGCUUUUUGCAAGAUUCCUGAGAAAGACUGCUCAGAUGAGGCCCUACACCAAGCCAAGAAGAAGAAAGGGAGCAAGGACAAAGAGGUGAAAGAGAAGAACAAGAAGACCCCACAGAAGGGGGGACUGCCCAACCUUGCAUAA
RNAcentral lists this ribosomal RNA (345 nucleotides) under Triticum aestivum (bread wheat). RNAcentral describes it as "partial small subunit ribosomal RNA". The record is from RNAcentral. Lineage: Eukaryota; Viridiplantae; Streptophyta; Magnoliopsida; Poales; Poaceae.